UUUUCGCAAUAGUGAUGGAAGCGGCAUCCUUUUCUAAAUUUUUUUGCAAAAAAAAUUAGAAAAGAUAUAGCGGACAGCCCGGCUCUUA
This 88-nucleotide small RNA is filed under the name Halpernia humi. Its description in RNAcentral is "Chryseobacterium humi Flavo-1 RNA". It matches the Rfam family "Flavo-1 RNA". Lineage: Bacteria; Pseudomonadati; Bacteroidota; Flavobacteriia; Flavobacteriales; Weeksellaceae. The record is from RNAcentral.